UGAGGAAUAUUGGUCAAUGGGCGAGAGCCUGAACCAGCCAAGUCGCGUGAAGGAAGAAGGAUCUAUGGUUCGUAAACUUCUUUUGCAGGGGAAUAAAGUGCAGGACGUGUCCUGUUUUGUAUGUACCCUGAGAAUAAGGAUCGGCUAACGCCGUGCCAGCAGCCGCGGUAAUACGGAGGAUCCGAGCGUUAUCCGGAUGUAUUGGGUUUAAAGGGUGCGUAGGUGGUUUGAUAAGUCAGCGGUGAAAGUUUGCAGCUUAACUGUAAAAAUGCCGUUGAAACUGUCGGACUUGAGUGUAAAUGAGGUAGGCGGAAUGCGUGGUGUAGCGGUGAAAUGCAUAGAUAUCACGCAGAACUCCGAUUGCGAAGGCAGCUUACUACGCUACAACUGACACUGAAGCACGAAAGCGUGGGGAUCAAACA
Molecule: ribosomal RNA, 422 nt
Filed under: uncultured bacterium
Lineage: Bacteria
Description: bacterial SSU rRNA
Rfam family: Bacterial small subunit ribosomal RNA
Source: RNAcentral